UACGGUAGGGUGCGAGCGUUGUCCGGAAUUAUUGGGCGUAAAGAGCUCGUAGGCGGUCUGUCGCGUCUGCUGUGAAAACUCAGGGCUUAACCCUGAGCUUGCAGUGGGUACGGGCAGACUAGAGUGCGGUAGGGGAGACUGGAAUUCCUGGUGUAGCGGUGAAAUGCGCAGAUAUCAGGAGGAACACCGGUGGGCGAAGGCGGGGUCUCUGGGCCGUAACUGACGCUGGAGGAGCGAAAGCAUGGGGAGCGAACAGG
This 257-nucleotide ribosomal RNA is filed under the name uncultured bacterium. RNAcentral describes it as "partial 16S ribosomal RNA". It matches the Rfam family "Bacterial small subunit ribosomal RNA", at positions 524 to 776 of the family's 1533-position model. The record is from RNAcentral.